Non-coding RNA from Leptonychotes weddellii (Weddell seal), 509 nucleotides. The record is from RefSeq and is a predicted model, not a curated record. NCBI's taxonomy places the organism in Eukaryota, Metazoa, Chordata, Mammalia, Carnivora, Phocidae.
CAGAGCCCAGAGCCGGUCAGGGGUUGCAUAAGGCUGCGCUUGACGGUGCCUGGGAGCAAGAGGAGGGGGCGGAACUGGGUUUGAAGGGCGUGGCCUGAGGCUGCUGAGAGCGGCAGGAAGGGGUGGGGCUAGGCGAAAUGGGCGUAGACCGGAGAGGGGCGGCGCCUUGCCCCCAUCCUGUCUGCCCAAUUUUCCCUCCCUCCAGAUGGAAGUACCGAUGGCAGAAUAUUAACUACCAAUUCCUAGGCAAGAGGAAGAGACAUCUAGUUCCCCUGCGCCCGUGAGAGCCGGGAUUCGGAGAGACAGGCUUCAGGUUCAUCGCAUGGUGUCCCGAGGCUGACUCGAGCCAAGCCAGGAUGAGCAGGAAGAUGUCCUGGGAGCACCGCAAAACCCUGUGUCCCUCUCUGUGGGUGAAGAUCCUCCACCUUUGCCCUCUCCCUUGGGAUCUCCAUGUUUCUACCCUUCACUGCCCCAAUAAAGCAGUUUUCGCCUCUCUCUGGCUCUCUCUA